AGAGUUUGAUUAUGGCUCAGAAUGAACGCUGGCGGCGUGCUUCAGGCAUGCAAGUUGAACGAGAAAGUCAUCUUCGGGUGAUGAGUAGAGUGGCGCACGGGUGAGUAAGACUUAGAUAACGUACCCUCUUGCUGGGGAUAACUGGGGGAAACUCUAGCUAAUACCGAAUGAGACGCAAUUGGCCGAGGUCGAUUGCGGGAAAGUCGUAAGACGCGAGGGGAUCGGUCUGAGAACCAUUAGCUAGUUGGUGGGGUAAAGGCCUACCAAGGCGACGAUGGUUAGCCGGUCUGAGAGGAUGAUCAGCCACACUGGUACUGGAAUACGGACCAGACUCCUACGGGAGGCAGCAGCUGGGAAUUUUGCGCAAUGGGGGAGAACCCCCUGACGCAGCAACGCCGCGUGGACGAGGAAGGCCUUCGGGUUGUAAAGUCCUUUUAGUGGGAAAGAAGUCAAUGACGGUACCCGCAGAAGAAGCACCGGCUAACUCCGUGCCAGCCGCCGC
Molecule: ribosomal RNA, 502 nt
Filed under: uncultured bacterium
Lineage: Bacteria
Description: bacterial SSU rRNA
Rfam family: Bacterial small subunit ribosomal RNA
Source: RNAcentral